CCUACGGGUGGCUGCAGUGGGGAAUCUUGCGCAAUGGGCGAAAGCCUGACGCAGCAACGCCGCGUGUGUGAUGAAGGUCUUCGGAUCGUAAAGCACUGUCGCGAGGGACGAAUAAGGCUGCCGCUAACAUCGGCGGCUGAUGACGGUACCUCGAGAGGAAGCACCGGCUAACUCUGUGCCAGCAGCCGCGGUAAUACAGAGGGUGCUAGCGUUGUUCGGAAUUAUUGGGCGUAAAGCGCGUGUAGGCGGCUCUGCAAGUUGGGUGUGAAAGCCCU
RNAcentral lists this ribosomal RNA (275 nucleotides) under uncultured Anaeromyxobacter sp. Its description in RNAcentral is "partial 16S ribosomal RNA". It matches the Rfam family "Bacterial small subunit ribosomal RNA", at positions 338 to 604 of the family's 1533-position model. Lineage: Bacteria; Pseudomonadati; Myxococcota; Myxococcia; Myxococcales; Anaeromyxobacteraceae. The record is from RNAcentral.